AACGAACGCUGGCGGCAUGCCUAACACAUGCAAGUCGAACGAGACCUUCGGGUCUAGUGGCGCACGGGUGCGUAACGCGUGGGAACCUGCCCUUAGGUUCGGAAUAACUCACCGAAAGGGGUGCUAAUACCGGAUAAUGUCUUCGGACCAAAGAUUUAUCGCCUUUGGAUGGGCCCGCGUUGGGUUAGCUAGUUGGUAGGGUAAACGCCUACCAAGGCGACGAUCCAUAGCUGGUCUGAGAGGAUGAUCAGCCACACUGGGACUGAGACACGGCCCAGACUCCUACGGGAGGCAGCAGUGGGGAAGAUUGGACAAUGGGCGAAAGCCUGAUCCAGCAAUGCCGCGUGAGUGAUGAAGGCCGUAGGGUUGUAAAGUUCUUUUACCCGGGAUGAUAAGGACAGGACCGGGAGAAUGAGCUCCGGCUAACUCCGUG
This 433-nucleotide ribosomal RNA is filed under the name uncultured bacterium. Its description in RNAcentral is "partial 16S ribosomal RNA". It matches the Rfam family "Bacterial small subunit ribosomal RNA", at positions 29 to 507 of the family's 1533-position model. The record is from RNAcentral.